CCAAUAGCGUAUAUUAAAGUUGUUGCAGUUAAAAAGCUCGUAGUUGAAUUUCGGGAUUAGUACGUUGGUCGUGCCUUGGUACGUACUGGUGUAACUGAUUCCUCCCUUCUGACGAACCGUUAUGCCAUUAAUUUGGUGUGGCGGGAAAUCAGGACUGUUACUUUGAAAAAAUUAGAGUGUUUAAAGCAGGCGCGCGCUUGAAUACAUUAGCAUGGAAUAAUGAAAUAGGACGUUAAUCCUAUUUUGUUGGUUUCUAGGAUCGACGUAAUGAUUAAUAGGGAUAGUUGGGGGCAUUAGUAUUCAAUUGUCAGAGGUGAAAUUCUUGGAUUUAUUGAAGACUAACUACUGCGAAAGCAUUUGCCAAGGAUGUUUUCAUUAAUCAAGAACGAAAGUUAGGGGAUCGAAGACGAUCAGAUACCGUCGUAGUCUUAACCAUAAACUAUGCCGACUAGGGAUCGGAUGAUGUUAAUUUUUUAAUGACUCAUUCGGCGCCUUACG
Molecule: unclassified non-coding RNA, 498 nt
Filed under: uncultured Glomus
Lineage: Eukaryota; Fungi; Glomeromycota; Glomeromycetes; Glomerales; Glomeraceae
Description: SSU rRNA
Rfam family: Eukaryotic small subunit ribosomal RNA
Source: RNAcentral